This 1036-nucleotide ribosomal RNA is filed under the name uncultured bacterium. RNAcentral describes it as "bacterial SSU rRNA". It matches the Rfam family "Bacterial small subunit ribosomal RNA", at positions 8 to 1037 of the family's 1533-position model. The record is from RNAcentral.
AGAGUUUGAUCAUGGCUCAGGACGAACGUUGGCGGCGUGCUUAAUGCAUGCAAGUCGAACGAGGAACCCUCCCUGGGUAACCAGGGGGACGUUGCCUAGUGGCGAACGGGUGAGUAACACGUGAGGAACCUGCCCCGGAGACCGGAAUAGCCCAGGGAAACUUGGAUUAAUGCCGGAUACCCUCGGAAGGCCGCAUGGCCUGCCGAGGAAAUGGUCCGCCGCUCCGGGAUGGCCUCGCGGCCUAUCAGCUAGUUGGUGAGGUAACGGCUCACCAAGGCAGUGACGGGUAGCUGGUCUGAGAGGACGAUCAGCCACACUGGGACUGAGACACGGCCCAGACUCCUGCGGGAGGCAGCAGCAGGGAAUUUUGCACAAUGGGCGCAAGCCUGAUGCAGCGACGCCGCGUGGGGGAUGACGGCCUUCGGGUUGUAAACCCCUUUCAGGAGGGACGAAGCGAAAGUGACGGUACCUCCAGAAGAAGCCCCGGCCAACUACGUGCCAGCAGCCGCGGUAAUACGUAGGGGGCGAACGUUGUCCGGAUUUAUUGGGCGUAAAGAGCUCGUAGGCGGCUCAGCAAGUCGGCCGUGAAAGCCCGGGGCUCAACCCCGGGACGCCGGUCGAAACUGCUGUGGCUAGGGUCCGGUAGAGGAGAGUGGAAUUCCCGGUGUAGCGGUGAAAUGCGCAGAUAUCGGGAGGAACAUCAUUAGCGAAGGCGGCUCUCUGGGCCGGCACCGACGCUGAGGAGCGAAAGCUAGGGGAGCAAACAGGAUUAGAUACCCUGGUAGUCCUAGCCGUAAACGUUGGGUACUAGGCGUGGCGAAUUCAUUGACAUUUGCCGUGCCGAAGCUAACGCAUUAAGUACCCCGCCUGGGGAGUACGGUCGCAAGGCUAAAACUCAAAGGAAUUGACGGGAGCCCGCACAAGCGGCGGAGCAUGCGGCUUAAUUCGAUGCAACCCCGAAGAACCUUACCUGGGGCUUGACAUCAUGGGGAAAAACCGUAGAAAUACCGGGGUGGCGUAAACGUCCCUGAAAAAG